CUCAUUCAGGUCUAGUCAUGAGGGUAACAUUAAGGGAAAGAGAAAUUAUUAACAACAAAAUGAAUGCCCCUGUCAUGGUGGGUAUAAACCCCCUACAUGGUUCCCAGACCGUGUGGGGUCUGCCCACCAACAAGUCCCAGCGGGGUGGCACAUCCCAGUGGCAAAGGUCACCCAGAGCAUCGCGUUUGGGCAAAAGAAGAAGGUGGGAGAUAGCUCACAUCUCCCUGUUCUGUGUGACGUUAUUCAGCUGCAAACUUAGCAGACGAUUUACCCUGGGAAUGUCUUUGUGUGUGCAACUUCUGUGUGAAGAGACAAGGAAGGGGCAAUCCUGGAGCCAGGGACCUGAGCUGAAGAACCUCCAUGAAUCCCUGGGAUCAUCCAGGCAGAAUUUAUUUAAAGAAACUGCAGAAGCACAAGCUUUAGAAGACAAUUUCUUUUUCCCAGGAAUGCUAUAUUUUAGAGAAAAAAAAAAAAUAACUGUAAAAUGAAGAUGGCCUGAUUUGAUGAAGUCAGCAGAGCUGUAGGCAGGACGAAGACCAUGCUCUCCACAGCAGUCUCCAAUUCAUCACCAGAGCCAGCUGGUAAAUAUUUGCUUCUUCUAGUGAUCAGCUGAAAGGUUCCCCCAUUCCCACAAUACUAUUAUCUUUGCAAAUUACUUUUAUUCUACUGAAAAGCAAAAAGCUAAAUCCAGACUGUUUUUAAUUGAAAACAAAGAGAAGAAAAGGAAAAAGGCUUUAAAAAUAAUAAAGCCAUGGGCUGUACUUUAAAUAAGUACUUUCUAAUUUACCCCUAUGUAGUUUCAUACUUAAAAAACUCUGAUAACAGGGUAUUUCUGUGUAAUGCUAUCUAUCCUCUGCUGGGCAAAUUGAUCCUAUCAGAGCCAAGUGGAUUCUCAGGGCAGAGGUGAGCAGCUCUUAGCUUUUCUUCCUUCUCCAGCAGAAACUGGAAGCUCCACCAUGCCCCACAAUACAGCCAUGAUUUGGGGUGUUUGCACAGGACUAGGGCAUCCAUCGCAAACUGGGGGUGCAUGGACAGAGCUAAGCGGGGCAUUGGGAUCCCUGGCGGCCUGAAACUACAUCGCUCUGGCCUUUGCUCUGGGUGACUGAGGCACACAAGGACAAGCAAGUAGCUGUGUUCUUGGCAGGUCCCAGAGGACUGACAUUUGGGGAAAACAACCAGGCUGAGCGUGGUGCAGUACUGGAAAGGUUCUCAGAGAGGUCCCGGUUCCUCCAUCCUCUGGGGAUGCUCAGCUCGAUGCACAAAGCCCGGCUUGCCGCUGAACUUGGCCUCUCCAGGAGCAGAGGCUUGAUCAGAGCCCUCUGCACAUGCCUGCCAGCCCCUGGCUCUGCAAUGCUCGGGGCCCUUUGUCCCAGCACAGCUCCGUGGGGGCCAGCAGCGGGCCACUUUCAGACCCGGGGGACCCCAAAACCUUUGGUGCUGGCUGCCACCAGGAGAGCUCUGCCCCCAGCAGUCACUAAUGCCCGCUUCUCAGAGCACUUCGAGUUUUCCUUGAGGAGGAAGGCGGUGUUCAAAGCCUUUCCAAAUUAUACAGAGGCCUUUGUUAUUUCAAGAGACUUUCACUCCCCCCUUCUCCGUUUGACUUUGUUACCUGAUGCUCGAGGAAUGCAUUUUCCCCUCUAUUAAAUGUUUUAACCGUGUACGAGUUCCAUCUUAAUGUUAGCAUCUUUAAUAGUAGAAUAUUACCAUAUUAAUUGCUAUUGUGAACCAGAAGAUACUUAUAUCAUCCCGGCUUUCAUUACCGUCAUGGAGGGAUUUUUCCUACUGAGUCAAAAGUGACCACUUUCCUUAAUCCCCUGUUGAAAAGCCCCGCGGUUCCUCCUGACGAGCCUCGGACGAGGGGUGGGCAGCCUUUUCCCAGGGCCCAACUUGGAAUCCCAGGCAUUAAUUUCCCAGGGACCUUUCCCCAACCUGCUGCGGGUUUCCCGGCAGGCGGGUGGUGGGGCAGUGCGUUUUUUAGCAAUUAAGAGGCAGCCGCCCCCCAACACCCCUCCCCCUUGGGCCUCCCCUGCCCGUGGCGGGGAAGGGAGGACAAGGGGGAAUUAGCCGGGAGAACAAUAGGGAUUCAA
Molecule: long non-coding RNA, 2087 nt
Organism: Anas platyrhynchos (mallard)
Lineage: Eukaryota; Metazoa; Chordata; Aves; Anseriformes; Anatidae
Source: RefSeq, a predicted model, not a curated record